This 71-nucleotide transfer RNA is filed under the name Stegodyphus mimosarum. It matches the Rfam family "tRNA". From Rfam's summary of the family: Transfer RNA (tRNA) molecules are approximately 80 nucleotides in length. Their secondary structure includes four short double-helical elements and three loops (D, anti-codon, and T loops). Lineage: Eukaryota; Metazoa; Arthropoda; Arachnida; Araneae; Eresidae. The record is from Rfam by way of RNAcentral.
GCCUUCGUGGUGUAACGGUAGCACACUCGGCAUGUAUUCGAAAAGUCCAGGUUUGAAUUUUGGCGAAAGCA